Long non-coding RNA from Pan troglodytes (chimpanzee), 1197 nucleotides. RefSeq lists it as uncharacterized. The transcript has 2 exons. Lineage: Eukaryota; Metazoa; Chordata; Mammalia; Primates; Hominidae. The record is from RefSeq and is a predicted model, not a curated record.
CGUCCUCUUCCUCCAAGCCUGGGGAAGGGACGUCCUGGCAGGUGGUCAGGGCGUUGCAGUUCGAGUCCAGGCCAGGAUCGGGUGAAGAAGAAGCUCCGGAGCAGGAAUCAGGAGAGCAGCAGAAGCUGUCCGGUGCAGACCUAGAAGACAGAGGUGGUGAAGCCCGGCCAGUGAGGACAAGAGCUGCGGGGAAGGACACCGAGGUGACUUGACGGCAGCAGCAGGCCUGAAGGCUCUGGCUGCUUUGGAAGAUAUUUCAAUGAGAUGCAAAUCGCAAUCGACUGACCAUUAGUUUCCACUGCAGUGUUUGCAGGUGGAGUCGAAUGUAACCCCCCGGGAAUGGAGCCGGGAGGGUCAGAGAACGCGGCUGCGCUCUGGAUCUCCGAAGGGGGGCGGGGGCCUGGAAGAGGUCCGGGCCCAGAAUGGACCUCCAGGUCCCUGCUGCCGCAAUCCGGCCCUACCCUCCAGCCUACCCCUUACUCCCAGAGGAAGGGACCCAGGGAGACCCACGCAGAUGCCCUGAAAGGAGGUGGAGGAUGGGGGUGGGGCAAUACGCAGAGUUUGUCUGGUGAAUGCAGGAAAGGGGUGGGGGCUGGAGAGGAAAAGGAUGGAGCAGCCGUCAGCUUGUCAACUCCGCAUCUGCUGGCUGCCUCGGCCGGGCUCCAGCCUGCGCCCUCGCCCCUCGGAACAGCGGUAUGUCCAUUCUCUCCGCAUUCGUCUCCAUCGUUCAGCCACCACCGCACCCUUUCUCUAUUCAUUUCUCCUGCUCCCUUGUCCUGCCCCGCCCCUCGUGCCCAGGUCCAUCGGUCUACACCCAUGGGCCGAGCCCUCCUCACCAGGGUCCUCCUGGAACCGCUCCGGCCUUGGGCUUGUCCGCGGCUCCCACGGUCCCCGCCCGGCGGGGCACAGAGCGGGAGGGGAGGGGCACUAGCACAACCUACCCUGCGCUGCGCAGCUGCACCCCUUCGCGCAUGGGCGUGGCGUAGCUCAGACCCGCCCCCAGCGUUUAGCGUCUUUUGUCACCCACCUAGCGGGUUUGAUAUAUCCUAAGCUUUUGGCCCCUGGGUCCUGCUUCCGUGCAGCGAGUCCUCCCAGCACCCCACCCUGCACAUUCUGGAAAGAGCUAUACUCUGGCUGGGCCGAGCAAGAACAGAACCACAAGAAGGUUACACGAUUAUUUAUUGAGAGCCUCCUCUC